GAUGAACGCUAGCGGCAGGCCUAACACAUGCAAGUCGAGGGGCAUCAUGGCGUAGCAAUACGCUGAUGGCGACCGGCGCACGGGUGCGUAACGCGUAUGGAACCUACCCACCGCAGGGGGAUAACCCGCCGAAAGGCGGACUAAUACCCCAUGGUUCCCCGACCCUGCCUGGGGUUGGGGGUAAAGCCUACGGGCGGCGGUGGAUGGCCCUGCGUGCCAUUAGCUGGCUGGUGGGGUAACGGCCCACCAGGGCGACGAUGGCUAGGGGGUCUGAGAGGACGAUCCCCCACACUGGUACUGAGACACGGACCAGACUCCUACGGGAGGCAGCAGUGAGGAAUAUUGGUCAAUGGGCGGAAGCCUGAACCAGCCAUGCCGCGUGCAGGAUGACGGCCCUACGGGUUGUAAACUGCUUUUCCCGGGGCGAAUAACCCCUCGCGAGGGGAGUGCCGGUACCGGGGAAGUAAGGAGUCGGCUAACUCCGUGCCAGCAGCCGCGGUAACUCGUCUCUA
RNAcentral lists this ribosomal RNA (512 nucleotides) under uncultured bacterium. RNAcentral's name for it is "bacterial SSU rRNA". It matches the Rfam family "Bacterial small subunit ribosomal RNA", at positions 28 to 537 of the family's 1533-position model. The record is from RNAcentral.